RNAcentral lists this long non-coding RNA (214 nucleotides) under Elaeis guineensis (African oil palm). Its description in RNAcentral is "long non-coding RNA (EGUI_LNC004115)". Lineage: Eukaryota; Viridiplantae; Streptophyta; Magnoliopsida; Arecales; Arecaceae. The record is from RNAcentral.
CUGAACCUAAGCCUCGUGAAAUUUGGCAGACCUUAUAUAGGCCCCUCAAUGGUUGAGAUGACUUCAUGUAAAUCAAAGCUCCUCCAGAUUUCGACACGUAACGUCAUCUGUAUCACACAGUAUUUGGAUUUCUCGAUGAACCGACUGCCAGAUCGUGACACGAAGGCACAAUCUGUGUGAAUCACCAGGAGCCAACAACUGUCUGAUGCGUGGC